Molecule: ribosomal RNA, 253 nt
Filed under: uncultured bacterium
Lineage: Bacteria
Description: partial 16S ribosomal RNA
Rfam family: Bacterial small subunit ribosomal RNA
Source: RNAcentral
UACGAGAGGCCCAAGCGUUAUUCGGAUUUACUGGGCUUAAAGAGUUCGUAGGCGGUCCAUCAAGUGGGGUGUGAAAUCCCUCGGCUCAACCGAGGAAUUGCGCUCCAAACUGUUGGGCUCGAGGGAGAUAGAGGUGAGCGGAACUGAUGGUGGAGCGGUGAAAUGCGUUGAUAUCAUCAGGAACACCAGAGGCGAAGGCGGCUCACUGGGUCUCUUCUGACGCUGAGGAACGAAAGCUAGGGGAGCAAACGGG